This 2093-nucleotide long non-coding RNA is filed under the name Homo sapiens (human). RNAcentral describes it as "HSALNT0372036". Lineage: Eukaryota; Metazoa; Chordata; Mammalia; Primates; Hominidae. The record is from RNAcentral.
GUCUUUGUUGCCGCCUCUGCUAUCGUUGGGAGGUUGUAUUUUCAUGAUUCCUUCAAUAACUGCAGCCUAGCAUUUUACUUCAGGAAUAUCAGUAUUCCUUAGGAGGAACAUCCUUAUCAGCGGGACAUCAGCGCCACAGCACAAGGUUGCGAAAAAGAGACUGAGGCUCAGGCUGUGUGAAGGGAACAGAGUGCUGGGCUCCCCGGGCAGCCCACAUUGGAAGGGUGGGCUCUUUCCAUGUUUCAGGAAAGACCUGGCCCUCGGGGGCGCAUCAACAGGUGUGUGGACAGAUGGAAGAGGCUGGAGGUUACCUCACAGCCGAGAGAACAGAACAAACACUAGCUUGAGGAAGACGCUGAGGCACAGGGCGGUGACCCUGGAAUGUGAAACAGAGGAUUCAAUGCCUGCGUGGAUCUAGGACUAAGAACUGGAUCUGACACUCAGCAUUAACAGAAAGCCAGGUUUUUCUUAAAAAAAAAAAAAAAAGAAAAUUGAAAUGGGCUACCCUUCACACCAUGUUUUCUCAUCCCUUGAAGCAUUUCAUCAGAGGCUGUGUGAGUGUCUGCUGGGGUAAUGCACAGGGGACUCCUCUGGAAGCCCUGGUCCCAGCGUUCCAUAAUUAAAGUGUAUGUACUAAUGCCUCCCUUUCAUAUACAACAUAUUUCACAGCCAAAAGAGAUGGCCAAUGUCCACAGUAAAUGCAGCUCCAUUUAAAAAGCUCAUGUUAAAUGAUAUGAUUUGUAAAAUUAAUUUUAUUCUCAGAUGAAAGACAUAAUACAUUUUCCUAACUGUUGAUGUUCUAUCUCAAAAGCAUUUCAAAAUGUGACCAGUGAGGAGCAAGAAAUUUGUACGUCUUGAUGUGUAAACAUAUUUUACAGCAGCUGUUCACCUAUGGGGUCAGUCCUGUUUAUUUAUAAAAUGAAGAUGUUUUCUUAUUAACCAAGAAACACCUCCCAUUGAAAUUUGGUCAACAAAAUGCCCAAUCAGCAAGAGUUUGAUUUAUCAAAAAAUGGUUCACAUUUUCUCCAACACUUCAAAGUCCAUAGAAUUUAACCUCCCCAGCAGGUUGUGUCACACCUGAGGGGCUCACCAACCAGCUCCGGGGAUCUGCCGUGCGUAUCAUUCUCUGCAGGCCAACAGCCAGGGAGAAGAGAGCUCCCCUCGCAAGUGUCAAGAGAUAGGCCAGGGUGAUGGGUCAGCUGCGGGUUAUCAAGCCCCCAAAUUUCCAGCACAUUGCUGCCAUUACUGGCCAGGCCUGGCUGCCCCAGGAGACGCUCCCAUUCAAGGAGCGGUGGGAGGAUGGCAGUAAACGCAGGAGACUCAGCAAGUUUUAAGGAGGACUCAACUCCACUGACUGCUCCUGUCCUGACUUUGGUGGGUGGACAGGGUGGGUGGACAGACUGCAGAGGGGCCCAGAGGAAGGAUGUUGUGGGUUGGGGGUGGCAAAGAAAGCGCCCAGCCCCCAGGUUCUCCCUUGUAAAAACACAUAACCACAGGGCAUAAUCUUUCACAAACCCUCUUGGUUGGAGAAGAUUUGAAGGCUAUUUCAAUUUGUGAAGUCGUCACUAAUUUCAAAUUACUUUCCAAAAUCAUCGCAUCCACUGGGACCCUUUGCAACUGUAGUAAACAAAGUACCUCUUUCCUCUCCUGCUUCUGGAGGGCUGGAGCCAAUGGGAGGAGCUUUUUCAAUACAAAGUGAAAUAUUAACUCUUUCUUCGGAAACCAGAGAGGUUCAUUUUAACUGAUGCCUCUCUGGCUGUCUUUUAAGGAAAGAAUAGAUACGCUUAGCUUCUGCAGUCUUCAACUUCUAAGAAUGUGAUUACAUUUAAACUUAAAAAGGUAAACUGUGUUCGGUUUUGUAGUAAAUGUAAUCAUAGUGAAGAACUCGAUGCUGUUUUUUCUUGUUUGUUUGUUUUUGUUUUUUGUUUUUGUUUUUUGUUUUUUUUGAGAUGGAGUCUAGCUCUGUUGCCCAAGCUGGAGUACCGUGGCACGAUCUCGGCUCACUGCAAGCUCCGCCUCCCGGGUUCACGCCGUUCUCCCGCCUCAGCCUCUCUGAGCAGCUGGGACUACAGGCGCCUGCCACCAAGCCCGGC